Lathyrus oleraceus (garden pea) is the source of this 1710-nucleotide long non-coding RNA. RefSeq lists it as uncharacterized. Lineage: Eukaryota; Viridiplantae; Streptophyta; Magnoliopsida; Fabales; Fabaceae. The transcript is spliced from 2 exons. The record is from RefSeq and is a predicted model, not a curated record.
CACCAAAUUUUUACUGUAUGGCACUCGUUUUCAAUUAAAACACCAAAAGGCACUUUUCAAAAUUCCACUUACCUCUCAUUUUCUCUCUCACUCAACACCAAACCCUAGCCUCCAUUUUCUCAUUUUCUCUCUCACGUCUCUCUCACUCUCAAAGCAAUAAAGCAUUCAUACCAUUCAUUUCUCGUAUGCACUCAACUCUCAGGAAUGGCUCCAAAGAAAAUCAUUGCCUCUAAGAAACAAAAGACCGCCACCAUCACUUCUAGGGAACCAAGGACAUUUGAUUCAACAAGAUUUUUGGGUCCUGAACAAGAAGAAAGGUUUCGAGAGUUGGCAAAAAGAAAAUUUUGGUCUAAAAAGCAGAGAACAAGGAGACUUUAGGGACAUAACUCAAAUAAUUUAAAUAAGGAAGUGAGGCAUGUUGGUUAACCCUCUCAGUUACCUCAACUAUGACAUCACCCGAGAACUUUAUGUUAAUGUUCUACUAUCAAACGAAUAACCCUUUUCAUUUACUACCAUGGUUCGAGGGAGAACCAUCCGCUUCUACCGGAAUUCCAUCAAUGAAUAUCUAGGUGAUCUUAUCACUUUGUUGGAUGGUGAGUUGUGUGCUUAUGCAAGAUACCUCGACCAUGGGUCAUGGAACAUUGAAGAAAUAUCUGAGUCUAUUUUGCUGGAAGGAAGGAGUGUUCAACUUAAUUCUUCCGAGGUCCCCAUUAGAUUUUUAAGAGAGGACAUGAAGCCAUCCUCCCAAGUGAUACUACUCCUGAUACUCCAUAACAUUAAACCAAGAAAUCACACUUCCUUCAUACCUUUGGAGACAUCAUACCUCUUGUAUUUCAUUUUGAAUAAUAUAUAGCUCGGGUAAUAGAGAAUGAGCUCAAAAUGGCCGCUGAAAGUGGCCAUAAUCCAGGAGCAAACCUUAACUACCCUUUAAUCUUCCCCGACCUCAUUAUGUGAUUAUGUAGGGUUGCUUGAAUGAUUAUCCCAACACAAGUACUUGACAUCAUUUCUAGAAUGAUUAAUGAUGUUUAUGUCUUUGGGUACUGCAUGGGAAAGAGACCUAUAAGCACUGGUCGAGCUCCAGCAAAUCCCUUAUCUCCUUCAGCUCAACAAAUCUUGGAUUUUAUGACUAGGAUCCAGGGUUAUAGUCACGUUUACUUAUACUUGGGACCAGAAUGAGUCUAAUCAGAGUCUUUUUCUAUAUAGGACUCUAUGUAUAGGCUGCAACUGUAAAUAGGGGGCCACAGGAGGAGGCAUACCAGAUUAUGACCCUAGAGGCUUUCUAGUCGCAUGUUGCUUGGCCCGGGGUCAAGCCAUUUUAUUAUGGGGAAGCUGCUACUGGACAUAGGGAUGAAGAUGGAGAAGAAGAGGAUGAGAAAACUGAAGAAGGAGAAGAAGGAUUGGAAGAAGAGACAUAAUUGGAUGAAGGAUCAUAAGAAAGCCAGGAGGACAUGAGUGAUUAGUAGGAGAUAGAUGACUGAAAAGCUCACCACUACUGAGUGAUAUCUUUAAAACUUCCAGUCAUUUAUAUUUCUUUGUAUUAUUCUUAUAUUCCUUAUCUUUUGUAUUCGUCAAACUAUUUGGGAUUUGUGUUUUGAUGUUGGGAUUUCUUGUUGGUGUUCUAAGAAACCAUAACUUUUGAAUGGUGGUUUAUGUUAUUUGAGUUUGUUUUUGAAUUUGUUUCAAGUAGUAAGAAGUAGUAGUGUUUUUUUA